RNAcentral lists this ribosomal RNA (909 nucleotides) under uncultured bacterium. RNAcentral's name for it is "bacterial SSU rRNA". It matches the Rfam family "Bacterial small subunit ribosomal RNA", at positions 8 to 916 of the family's 1533-position model. The record is from RNAcentral.
AGAGUUUGAUCCUGGCUCAGAUUGAACGCUGGCGGCAGGCUUAACACAUGCAAGUCGAGCGGAAACGAUGUAGCUUGCUACAGGCGUCGAGCGGCGGACGGGUGAGUAACGCGUAGGAAUCUGCCUAGUAGUGGGGGACAACAUGUGGAAACGCAUGCUAAUACCGCAUAAGCCCUACGGGGGAAAGGAGGGGAUCUUCGGACCUUUCGCUAUUAGAUGAGCCUGCGUGAGAUUAGCUUGUUGGUGAGGUAAAGGCUCACCAAGGCGACGAUCUCUAGCUGGUCUGAGAGGAUGACCAGCCACACUGGGACUGAGACACGGCCCAGACUCCUACGGGAGGCAGCAGUGGGGAAUAUUGGACAAUGGGCGCAAGCCUGAUCCAGCCAUGCCGCGUGUGUGAAGAAGGCCUUAGGGUUGUAAAGCACUUUCAGAGGGGAGGAAAGGUUAUUGAUUAAUACUCAAUAGCUGUGACGUUACCCUCAGAAGAAGCGCCGGCUAACUCUGUGCCAGCAGCCGCGGUAAUACAGAGGGUGCAAGCGUUAAUCGGAAUUACUGGGCGUAAAGCGCGCGUAGGUGGUUUGUUAAGUCGGAUGUGAAAGCCCAGGGCUCAACCUUGGAAUGGCACCCGAUACUGGCAGGCUAGAGUACGAUAGAGGAGUGUGGAAUUUCCUGUGUAGCGGUGAAAUGCGUAGAUAUAGGAAGGAACAUCAGUGGCGAAGCGACACUCUGGAUUGAUACUGACACUGAGUGCGAAAGCGUGGGGAGCAAACAGGAUUAGAUACCCUGGUAGUCCACGCCGUAAACGAUGUCUACUAGCCGUUGGGUUGUAAUGACUUAGUGGCGAAGCUAACGCAAUAAGUAGACCGCCUGGGGAGUACGGCCGCAAGGUUAAAACUCAAGGAUUGACGG